GGUCACACCAAGUAUGCUUCCUUCAUGUGCAGUUGGGGGCUUUAUGUGUCAGCCAGUGCACCUGGAAUUUCUAUCACAUGUCUUUUCAGCAGAAAUAAACACUUUUGGGGGUUUUUUUGUCCAAGAGGGAGCUCAGUUUGUUUUGUGUAAAAAUUUCCACAUGAAGUGGUUGCAGCUGAGCCUGACUCCUGGCGAGCUGACUCAGCUAAGUGCAGCCUGAUAGAAGAAGACUGACAAACUGAAGAUGCUGUUGUCUUGUUGGAAUUCAGGAGGUUAAUCCUGUGGGACUUUAAAUAUUGAUGACUACCUUUCAAUGUAGAGACAUGUACUACAUUCUCCAGAAGCAGCAUUCACUGUGGUUAUCACUAGCUGGAUUGGGAACUCGUCAGCAGCCUAUACUGAACAGGACAAAUUUGUCCCAACAAAGACCAUCCAAGCAGGAUGGAACUGCAUUUGACUUUGCCCAGAAUGACCACCAUGCAGCAGCCCAUUAACCUGCAGGUGUGAAUCAGCUGGCAUUACAUGACCAGGGAGCUCCAAGACAAGAGUCUCACAACUGGUGUACACCGAGUGCUGCAUUAAUGGGGAUGAGUGUGGAAAGAGAGAAAAGGAGGUCAGAAGCGUGGAAGCAGACUGCAUGAAGAUGAAGAAGGAAAUAUUCAGUGUUGCCAGAAUGCAUACUCAGUGCCAAGUGAGAGAGAAAUAAGUGGCAAUAUAAGAAUAAAGGUAUUACUAUGUGA
Long non-coding RNA from Hemicordylus capensis (graceful crag lizard), 740 nucleotides. RefSeq lists it as uncharacterized. NCBI's taxonomy places the organism in Eukaryota, Metazoa, Chordata, Lepidosauria, Squamata, Cordylidae. The transcript is spliced from 3 exons. The record is from RefSeq and is a predicted model, not a curated record.